This 253-nucleotide ribosomal RNA is filed under the name uncultured bacterium. RNAcentral's name for it is "partial 16S ribosomal RNA". It matches the Rfam family "Bacterial small subunit ribosomal RNA", at positions 524 to 776 of the family's 1533-position model. The record is from RNAcentral.
UACGUAGGGGGCAAGCGUUGUCCGGAAUCAUUGGGCGUAAAGCGCGUGUAGGCGGCUAGGUAAGUCUGCUCUGAAAGCCCGGGGCUCAACCCCGGGAGGCGGGUGGAUACUGUCUAGCUCGAGUCCGGAAGAGGAGAAUGGAAUUCCCGGUGUAGCGGUGAAAUGCGCAGAUAUCGGGAAGAACACCCGUGGCGAAGGCGGUUCUCUGGGACGGUACUGACGCUGAGACGCGAAAGCGUGGGGAGCGAACAGG